Daphnia pulex (common water flea) is the source of this 1115-nucleotide long non-coding RNA. RefSeq lists it as uncharacterized. NCBI's taxonomy places the organism in Eukaryota, Metazoa, Arthropoda, Branchiopoda, Diplostraca, Daphniidae. The record is from RefSeq and is a predicted model, not a curated record. The transcript has 5 exons.
UGAAAACAAUGUCCGCUCUAGCUCGUUGACACUCAAUUAAGAAAUUUACAAACAAAGGUAACAAAUAACUUUCAUACUCACGUAAUAUUCUCCCUGCCAAAUUUCACCAAGAAGCCACCACGCAGCAUCACACAUGACACAUCACAAGUUCAGACGAAAUCCCCAAGGUGUUAAUGGACGCCAGUCCAACUUUUACAACACUUCUACAACACUGAGGAGAAGGCACUCAAGACAGAUAUCCUUUCAUGUUGUCUGCAAGUGAUUCCCAGACGUUUCAGCACUUGGGAAACAGUGCUGGACAGUGGAUUGCUGAAAGGAAAAACACCCAGUUGGUAAGGUAAACCUGCCCGUUAUUCAGAAUGUGUUUCUAUUCAUUGUGGACACUACUAGGCUACGUACUACAAGGCAAGAGCAAACAUUAAGUCAAUCACAAAUGAUGGUGAAGAUGAAAAAUCUGUUCCACACUACACUGUCUCACAGCAACAGCAUGUUCCUGGCUCAUUCGAUCCUCACUUUAGGGACAUGGCAUCUAAUCAAAUUAUUGUUCACCUGUUUCGAUUGCCAUUGAUAAUUGGAGAGCAGCAUUGGAAUGUGACAGUUUGUCUGGGCUAAAAGCCCUACUAAAUAGAUUCCUUUUGGGAAACUUCGUUUGUUCCUAAAAAAGUUACACCAUACUCAUCAUAAGUUAAAAGUUACUUUAAAAAACCAAACAAAUUCAAAUUAGGAUUUUGAGUGUUUUCAGAAAAUUUCAGCUGAAGUUGACCUAGGUAUAGGUGCAGACUGCAGCCUUGUGCUUGUGAAAACAUAGAUCAAGCGGGGCAAUCCAAUAGCGCAAGCUAUGUCUUCUAAAGCCAAAUAAUUAAUAUUCGCAAGGUUAACUUUUUGCAAUCAAGUUGUGGUUAAUCUCCAAAAUAUUGCUACUGUCCCAGGAUCCAAUUCUAUGCUUUUAUGUUGAAGACAAUUGCAAGCUAUUACUAAAGUGGUUGUGGUGACCACCAUUUGCUGAGUUCUAAUUUAGGAAAAUGUAAAUUACUCGCCGCUGAUUUAUUGUUUGGAAACUGACGGAAAGAAACUGACGGGUGAUUGGAAUAAAAUAUUGAUAAUUUGUGUAAACG